UACGAAGGGGGCUAGCGUUGCUCGGAAUUACUGGGCGUAAAGGGCUCGUAGGCGGCCAACUAAGUCGGAUGUGAAAUCCCCAGGCUUAACCUGGGAACUGCAUCCGAUACUGGAUGGCUUGAAUCCGGGAGAGGGAUGCAGAAUUCCAGGUGUAGCGGUGAAAUGCGUAGAUAUCGUAAGGAAGACCAGUGGCGAAGGCGGGUCUCUGGACAGUUCCUGACGCUGAGGCACGAAGGCCAGGGGAGCAAACGGG
Molecule: ribosomal RNA, 253 nt
Filed under: uncultured bacterium
Lineage: Bacteria
Description: partial 16S ribosomal RNA
Rfam family: Bacterial small subunit ribosomal RNA
Source: RNAcentral